AACGAACGCUGGCGGCGUGCCUAACACAUGCAAGUCGUGCGAGAAAGUUCCUUCGGGAGCGAGUAAAGCGGCGCACGGGUGAGUAACACGUAGGUAACCUGCCCCCCAGUCUGGAACAACUAGAGGAAACUCUAGCUAAUGCCGGAUGAGACCACGAUCCCUUCGGGGGUUGCGGCCAAAGAUGGCCUCUACUUGUAAGCUAUCGCUGAGGGAUGGGCCUGCGGGCCAUUAGCUUGUUGGUGAGGUAACGGCUCACCAAAGGCUGUGAUGGCUAGCUGGUCUGAGAGGAUGACCAGCCACACUGGGACUGAGACACGGCCCAGACUCCUACGGGAGGCAGCAGUGGGAACAUUGCGCAAUGGGCGAAAGCCUGACGCAGCGACGCCGCGUGGGUGAUGAAGGCCUGGUCGUAAGACCUGUCGC
Molecule: ribosomal RNA, 423 nt
Filed under: uncultured bacterium
Lineage: Bacteria
Description: bacterial SSU rRNA
Rfam family: Bacterial small subunit ribosomal RNA
Source: RNAcentral